UUUGUAUAGUUUAUCUAUCAGGAAAUCUAGGAGACUAGGAUUGUACUUUCAUUUGUAUUAGAUGAGUACCCGCACGUAGUGCGGGUUUAUGUAUUACUAUUUACAAAUUGUUUUAUAUAAUGUCUGUUCAUAUAAAGUAUAGUUGAAUGCAUCGGUUUUGAAACAUAAAUAUGAUUUGUAAUUGUUUUUGAAAAGUUCAACUAUAUUAGUUCAUCUGAAAAACGAAUGUGUUUGAGUUGUUUUUAUUGUUGUUCUAGAUUCUCAGUUUUUUUUCAUAUAUAUAUCCUUGUUUUUUUUGUUAUAUGUUUAGAUUGUGAGACGGUGAAAUUUUAUUUCUUACACUAAAAAAUAUAACAUGUCUUUAUUAACCAUGUCUCUGCAUAUUUAAUCUAAUCAUAUUCAAUUUGAUGUUUUUGGAAAGUUUAGUUAAGUUCUUGUCAUAAUCUUAUAUCUUACGUAUUAGUUAUAAGGAUAGUUCCUCAAACAUCUUUCAAAUUACUUGUUUUCUUAGCCUAAAUUUCAAAAAACUUAGAUAUAUUUAAUUUGCAUAUUCAUUUAGUUUCUUUCAUAAUAAACGUCUAAUUUUUAGGCAAGGAAUAUGUGUAGCAUGUUUGGAUUUUAUGAUCACUUUAGCCACUAAUGGAUCUCAAAAUUAAAAAGAAUAUAUUGAAUUGAAAAAAUGUAGAAAGAAUGAUGGAUUAAGUUCUGACUAAUUAUACCCUCAUAUUUUACUUGUUAUGUUGAAUUAAUUACUAAUUAUGUAUUAGUUAUUUUAUGAAGUCUAUGUGGCAAACUUCAUGUGCUGAUGUGUCAAGUUGUGGGAGAGAGUUAGCGUUCUUUCAUAUAUAUGAUUUGGGUUUAUCCGACAAAAAACUAUUCCGAAAAUAGUGUAAUCUCAAU
Molecule: small RNA, 900 nt
Filed under: Arabidopsis thaliana (thale cress)
Lineage: Eukaryota; Viridiplantae; Streptophyta; Magnoliopsida; Brassicales; Brassicaceae
Description: ATSL215020
Source: RNAcentral